RNAcentral lists this long non-coding RNA (7082 nucleotides) under Lactuca sativa (garden lettuce). RNAcentral describes it as "long non-coding RNA (LSAT_LNC004835)". Lineage: Eukaryota; Viridiplantae; Streptophyta; Magnoliopsida; Asterales; Asteraceae. The record is from RNAcentral.
CUCUCCAAGGUUAACAAGUUUGCCCAUGGAUUACGAGCAGACUUUUGUCGAAUGGUCAAGCAAGAAACCACUUUGAAAGCCGCCAUCUGGGCAGCCAGGAAUGUUGAGACCCAGAUUAAGGAAACGGGUCUGGAGAGAGCUGAAUUUGGCGAGAAAAGGAAGCAUGAAGGAUCUUCAAAAUCCAACAAAGAAAGGAAAUUCUCAAAGACUGAUGAAGGAGGAGGAGGUGAAGCCAAGUGGUGUGAGAAGUGUAAAAAGAAGCACUUCAGGAAAUAUAGCGUGGAGUUGACUUGGUACAAAUGUGGAAAUACAGGGCAUUACACUGAGAGAUUAAGGAGAUGGAAAUCACUAGUAAUAAUGAAUGUAAGUUCUGUUUAUGCUUAUGUUUCUGUAUUGACGAUGACAUCCCAAAUGUUUUAAAAUGAAUAAAAAUACUUUUGUUUGGAAAUUCUUUGAUAAUGAAAUUAUCAUAUUUUUCUGGGAACAAAUUCCGCAACGUUUUUAUUAAAAGAGAUACUCUGAUUUUUAUAAAGCAUAAACAAAAUCGGUCUUUUUUGGCUGUGAAAUUGGGAUGUCACAGUUGGUACUAGAGCAUUAAUUUAAGUGAACUAGGAAUAUGGAUUUAUUUCUAGACUUAAACUUAGAAUGCUAAGCAAUGAUUGUGAGGAGUGUGUCUUAGGUAAUACACCUAAAUAGACACAAUCACUAGCUUAUUUAGGGAAAACGCCUAACAUGCUUUUAUGUGCUAAAUGAUUUAUGAUGCUAAAUGUAUGAUCGGAUCUAUGGUCUGUUGCCGACCAGAUCUUGAAAUUUUACGUGUACAGAUUUCUAAACGUUUAAUUAUGUUAUUAGAACUGGCAUGUAACUUUUCGGCGUAAUAAGAAGAUUUACCCGUCAAUCGUAAAUAAAAUCUUUCCUAUCUUAGUUCUCGUAAUUUCGCACCGAACAUCUGAUCUGGUGUAUAGAUCAAAAUGGCUAGAACCGGAAGUGGAGUCGGGAACGUGAAUGGAGAUAGGAAUCAAGAGCCCCUAGUGGCUGAACAAAUACCUGUUGUAGUAACCGCACCUGAGCCAAUCACGAUGGUCGGGGUACAAGCGAUGAUCCAAAUGAUGUUGGAUCGUCAAAUGGAGGAAACAAGGCGUUUACUUCAACAAAACCGAGAAGAACGUACGGUACCAAUUGAACAGCCCGAGCUGAAUGAUGGGCAGUCAGAAGGAGAAAACUACAGUGGGACCAUUGGUCAAGCCAACCCACCGAUAGUUAGGCGAAACUACUAGGAUGGAGCAAACGACGGACGUGGAUGCAAAUACAAGGAUUUCAUGGCAUCCAGACCACUGAGUCUAUCCGGAAGCCCGACGCCGGUGGAAGUUAUGGACUGGAUCUCCGAGAUGGCGACAAUGUUUGAGAGUUGCGAGUGUAGCAACAGACAGAAAACCGCUGUUGAAAUCUGGAGUACUGAGCUGGGCGAAGCUACUAGUUGAUUCUAUGCCUAAGGGAGAAGCUAGUAAGAAGUCUUUGGAGGAUUUUCUGGUGCAACUGAAGAUGCAAUACUUCUCUGAGCAGGAUCUUGUGGAGAUCAACAAUGGGUUCCAAAAUUUGAAGAUGGGAAGAAUGAGCGUUAUAGAAUAAACUGCAUGCUUUACGGAAAAGAUGAAGCCGGUUCCUUACCUAGUCCCAACCGAACUCUCCAAGGUUAACAAGUUUGCCCAUGGAUUACCAGCAGACUUUUGUCGAAUGGUCAAGCAAGCAACCACUUUGAAAGCCGCCAUCUGGGCAGCCCGGAAUGUUGAGACCCAGAUUAAGGAAAGGGGUCUGGAGAGAGCUGAAUUUGGCGAGAAAAGAAAGCAUGAAGGAUCUUCAAAAUCAAAAAAAGAAAGGAAAUUCUCAAAGACUGAUGAAGGAGAAGGAGGUGAAUCCAAGUGGUGUGAGAAGUGUAAAAAGAAGCACUUCAGGAAAUGUAGCGAGGAGGUGACUUGCUACAAAUGUGGAAAUACAGGGCAUUACACUGAGAGAUUAAGGAGAUGGAAAUCACUAGUAAUAAUGAAUGUAAGUUCUGUUUAUGCUUAUGUUUUUGUAUUGACGAUGACAUCCCAAAUGUUUUAAAAUGAAUAAAAAUACUUUUCUUUGGAAAUGCUUUGAUAAUGAAAUUAUCAUAUUUUUCUGGGAACAAAUUCCGCAACGUUUUUAUUAAAAGAGAUACUCUGAUUUUUAUAAAGCAUAAACAAAAUCGGUCUUUUCUGGCUGUGAAAAUGGGGAUGUCACAGUUGGUACCAGAGCAUUAGUUUAAGCGAACUAGGAAUAUGGAUUUAUUUCUAGACAUAAACUUAGAAUGCUAAGCAAUGAUUGUGAGGAGUGUGUCUUAGGUAAUACACCUAAAUAGACAUAAGCACUAGCCUAUUUAGGGAAAACGCCUAACAUGCUUUUAUGUGCUAAAUGAUUUAUGAUGCUAAAUGUAUGAUCGGAUCUAUGGCCUGUUGCCGACCGGAUCUGGAAAUUUUAUGUGUACAAAUUUCUAAACGUUUAAUUAUGCUAUUAGAACUGGCAUGUAACUUUCUGAUGUAAUAAGAAGAUUUACCCGUCAAUCGUAAAUAAAAUCUUUCCUAUCUUAAUUCUCGUCAUUUCGCACCGAACAUCUGAUCUGGUGUAUAGAUCAAAAUGGCUAGAACCCGAAGUGGAGUCGGGAACGCGAAUGGAGAUAGGAAUCAACAGCCCCUAGUGGCUGAACAAAUACCUGUUGUAGUAACCGCACCUGAGCCAAUCACGAUGGUCGGGGUACAAGCGAUGAUCCAAAUGAUGUUGGAUCGUCAAAUGGAGGAAACAAGGCGUUUACUUCAACAAAACCGAGAAGAACGUACGGUACCAAUUGAACAGCCCGAGCUGAAUGAUGGGCAGUCAGAAGGAGAAAACUACAGUGGGACCAUUGGUCAAGCCAACCCACCGAUAGUUAGGCGAAACUACUAGGAUGGAGCAAACGACGGACGUGGAUGCAAAUACAAGGAUUUCAUGGCAUCCAGACCACUGAGUCUAUCCGGAAGCCCGACGCCGGUGGAAGUUAUGGACUGGAUCUCCGAGAUGGCGACAAUGUUUGAGAGUUGCGAGUGUAGCAACAGACAGAAAACCGCUCUUGAAAUCUGGAGUACUGAGCUGGGGGAAGCUACUAGCUGAUUCUAUGCCUUAGGGAGAAGCUAGUAAGAAGUCUUUGGAGGAUUUUAUGGUGCAACUGAAGAUGCAAUACUGCUCUGAGCAGGAUCUUAAGGAGAUCAACAAUGGGUUCCAAAAUUUGAAGAAGGGAAGAAUGAGCGUUAUAGAAUACACUGCAAGCUUUACAGAAAAGAUGAAGCCGGUCCCUUACCUAGUCCCGACCGAACUCUCCAAGAUUAACAAGUUUGCCCAUGGAUUACCAGCAGACUUUUGUCGAAUGGUCAAGCAAGCAACAACUUUGAAAGCCGCCAUCUGGGCAGCCCGGAAUGUUGAGACCCAGAUUAAGGAAAGGGGUCUGGAGAGAGCUGAAUUUGGCGAGAAAAGAAAGCAUGAAGGAUCUUCAAAAUCAAAAAAAGAAAGGAAAUUCUCAAAGACUGAUGAAGGAGAAGGAGGUGAAUCCAAGUGGUGUGAGAAGUGUAAAAAGAAGCACUUCAGGAAAUGUAGCGAGGAGGUGACUUGCUACAAAUGUGGAAAUACAGGGCAUUACACUGAGAGAUUAAGGAGAUGGAAAUCACUAGUAAUAAUGAAUGUAAGUUCUGUUUAUGCUUAUGUUUUUGUAUUGACGAUGACAUCCCAAAUGUUUUAAAAUGAAUAAAAAUACUUUUCUUUGGAAAUGCUUUGAUAAUGAAAUUAUCAUAUUUUUCUGGGAACAAAUUCCGCAACGUUUUUAUUAAAAGAGAUACUCUGAUUUUUAUAAAGCAUAAACAAAAUCGGUCUUUUCUGGCUGUGAAAAUGGGGAUGUCACAGUUGGUACCAGAGCAUUAGUUUAAGCGAACUAGGAAUAUGGAUUUAUUUCUNUGCUAAUCAAUGAUUGUGAGGAGUGUGUCUUAGGUAAUACACCUAAAUAGACAUAAGCACUUGCUUAUUUAGGGAAAACGCCUAACACGCUUUUAUGUGCUAAAUGAUUUAUGAUGCUAAAUGUAUGAUCGGAUCUAUGGUCUGUUGCCGACCGGAUCUGGAAAUUUUAUGUGUACAAAUUUCUAAACGUUUAAUUAUGUUAUUAGAACUGGCAUGUAACUUUCCGACGUAAUAAGAAGAUUUACCCGUCAAUCGUAAACAAAAUCUUUCCUAUCUUAAUUCUCGUCAUUUCGCACCGAACAUCUGAUCUGGUGUAUAGAUCAAAAUGGCUAGAACCCGAAGUGGAGUCGGGAACGCGAAUGGAGAUAGGAAUCAACAGCCCCUAGUGGCUGAACAAAUACCUGUUGUAGUAACCGCACCUGAGCCANCAUGGUUGGAGUGCAAGCGAUGAUCCAGACGAUAUUGGAUCGUCAAAUGGAGGAAACAAGGCGUCUACUUCAACAGAACCGAGAAGAACUUGCGGUACCAAUUGAACAGCCCGAGCUGAAUGAUGGGUAGUCAGAAGGAGAAAACUACAGUGGGACCAUUGGUCAAGCCAACCCACCGAUAGUUAGGCGAAACUACUAGGAUGGAGCAAACGACAGACGUGGAUGCAAAUACAAGGAUUUCAUGGCAUCCAGACCACUGAGUCUAUCCAGAAGCCCGACGCCGGUGGAAGUUAUGGACUGGAUCUCCGAGAUGGCGACAAUGUUUGAGAGUUGCNAAGAGUUGCGGUGUAGCAACAGACAGAAAACCGCUCUUGAAAUCUGGAGUACUGAGCUGGGGGAAGCUACUAGUUGAUUCUAUGCCUAAGGGAGAAGCUAAUAAGAAGUCUUUGGAGGAUUUUCUGGUGCAACUGAAGAUGCAAUACUUCUCUGAGCAGGAUCUUGUGGAGAUCAACAAUGGGUUCCAAAAUUUGAAGAUGGGAAGAAUGAGCGUUAUAGAAUAAACUGCAUGCUUUACGGAAAAGAUGAAGCCGGUUCCUUACCUAGUCCCAACCGAACUCUCCAAGGUUAACAAGUUUGCCCAUGGAUUACCAGCAGACUUUUGUCGAAUGGGCAAGCAAGCAACCACUUUGAAAGCCGCCAUCUGGGCAGCCCGGAAUGUUGAGACCCAGAUUAAGGAAAGGGGUCUGGAGAGAGCUGAAUUUGGCGAGAAAAGAAAGCAUGAAGGAUCUUCAAAAUCAAAAAAAGAAAGGAAAUUCUCAAAGACUGAUGAAGGAGAAGGAGGUGAAUCCAAGUGGUGUGAGAAGUGUAAAAAGAAGCACUUCAGGAAAUGUAGCGAGGAGGUGACUUGCUACAAAUGUGGAAAUACAGGGCAUUACACUGAGAGAUUAAGGAGAUGGAAAUCACUAGUAAUAAUGAAUGUAAGUUCUGUUUAUGCUUAUGUUUUUGUAUUGACGAUGACAUCCCAAAUGUUUUAAAAUGAAUAAAAAUACUUUUCUUUGGAAAUGCUUUGAUAAUGAAAUUAUCAUAUUUUUCUGGGAACAAAUUCCGCAACGUUUUUAUUAAAAGAGAUACUCUGAUUUUUAUAAAGCAUAAACAAAAUCGGUCUUUUCUGGCUGUGAAAAUGGGGAUGUCACAGUUGGUACCAGAGCAUUAGUUUAAGCGAACUAGGAAUAUGGAUUUAUUUCUAGACAUAAACUUAGAAUGCUAAGCAAUGAUUGUGAGGAGUGUGUCUUAGGUAAUACACCUAAAUAGACAUAAGCACUAGCCUAUUUAGGGAAAACGCCUAACAUGCUUUUAUGUGCUAAAUGAUUUAUGAUGCUAAAUGUAUGAUCGGAUCUAUGGCCUGUUGCCGACCGGAUCUGGAAAUUUUAUGUGUACAAAUUUCUAAACGUUUAAUUAUGUUAUUAGAACUGGCAUGUAACUUUCCGACGUAAUAAGAAGAUUUACCCGUCAAUCGUAAACAAAAUCUUUCCUAUCUUAAUUCUCGUCAUUUCGCACCGAACAUCUGAUCUGGUGUAUAGAUCAAAAUGGCUAGAACCCGAAGUGGAGUCGGGAACGCGAAUGGAGAUAGGAAUCAACAGCCCCUAGUGGCUGAACAAAUACCUGUUGUAGUAACCGCACCUGAGCCAAUCACGAUGGUCGGGGUACAAGCGAUGAUCCAAAUGAUGUUGGAUCGUCAAAUGGAGGAAACAAGGCGUUUACUUCAACAAAACCGAGAAGAACGUACGGUACCAAUUGAACAGCCCGAGCUGAAUGAUGGGCAGUCAGAAGGAGAAAACUACAGUGGGACCAUUGGUCAAGCCAACCCACCGAUAGUUAGGCGAAACUACUAGGAUGGAGCAAACGACGGACGUGGAUGCAAAUACAAGGAUUUCAUGGCAUCCAGACCACUGAGUCUAUCCGGAAGCCCGACGCCGGUGGAAGUUAUGGACUGGAUCUCCGAGAUGGCGACAAUGUUUGAGAGUUGCGAGUGUAGCAACAGACAGAAAACCGCUGUUGAAAUCUGGAGUACUGAGCUGGGCGAAGCUACUAGUUGAUUCUAUGCCUAAGGGAGAAGCUAGUAAGAAGUCUUUGGAGGAUUUUCUGGUGCAACUGAAGAUGCAAUACUUCUCUGAGCAGGAUCUUGUGGAGAUCAACAAUGGGUUCCAAAAUUUGAAGAUGGGAAGAAUGAGCGUUAUAGAAUAAACUGCAUGCUUUACGGAAAAGAUGAAGCCGGUUCCUUACCUAGUCCCAACCGAACUCUCCAAGGUUAACAAGUUUGCCCAUGGAUUACCAGCAGACUUUUGUCGAAUGGGCAAGCAAGCAACCACUUUGAAAGCCGCCAUCUGGGCAGCCCGGAAUGUUGAGACCCAGAUUAAGGAAAGGGGUCUGGAGAGAGCUGAAUUUGGCGAGAAAAGAAAGCAUGAAGGAUCUUCAAAAUCAAAAAAAGAAAGGAAAUUCUCAAAGACUGAUGAAGGAGAAGGAGGUGAAUCCAAGUGGUGUGAGAAGUGUAAAAAGAAGCACUUCAGGAAAUGUAGCGAGGAGGUGACUUGCUACAAAUGUGGAAAUACAGGGCAUUACACUGAGAGAUUAAGGAGAUGGAAAUCACUAGUAAUA